UACGUAGGGACCGAGCGUUGUCCGGAAUCAUUGGGCGUAAAGAGCGUGUAGGCGGCUUGCUAAGUCUUGCGUGAAAUCUCGGGGCUCAACCCCGAGCGGUCGUGGGAAACUGGCAGGCUAGAGUGCGGGAGAGGAGAAUGGAAUUCCUGGUGUAGCGGUGAAAUGCGCAGAUAUCAGGAAGAACACCCGUGGCGAAGGCGGUUCUCUGGAACGCAACUGAGGCUGAGACGCGAAAGCGUGGGGAGCAAACAGG
This 253-nucleotide ribosomal RNA is filed under the name uncultured bacterium. RNAcentral's name for it is "partial 16S ribosomal RNA". It matches the Rfam family "Bacterial small subunit ribosomal RNA", at positions 524 to 776 of the family's 1533-position model. The record is from RNAcentral.